AUUGAACGCUGGCGGCAUGCCUUACACAUGCAAGUCGAACGGCAGCGGACCUUCGGGUGCCGGCGAGUGGCGAACGGGUGAGUAAUAUAUCGGAACGUACCUUUCAGUGGGGGAUAACGUAGCGAAAGUUACGCUAAUACCGCAUAUUCUGUGAGCAGGAAAGCAGGGGAUCGCAAGACCUUGCGUUGAUUGAGCGGCCGAUAUCAGAUUAGCUAGUUGGUGAGGUAAAGGCUCACCAAGGCGACGAUCUGUAGCGGGUCUGAGAGGAUGAUCCGCCACACUGGAACUGAGACACGGUCCAGACUCCUACGGGAGGCAGCAGUAAGGAAUAUUGGUCAAUGGAGGAAACUCUGAACCAGCCAUCCCGCGUGCAGGAAGAAUGCCCUAUGGGUUGUAAACUGCUUUUAUCUGGGAAGAAAAGUACGGCAUUUAUGCUGAUCUGACGGUACCAGAGGAAUAAGCACCGGCUAACUCCGUGCCAG
RNAcentral lists this ribosomal RNA (482 nucleotides) under uncultured bacterium. RNAcentral describes it as "bacterial SSU rRNA". It matches the Rfam family "Bacterial small subunit ribosomal RNA", at positions 30 to 511 of the family's 1533-position model. The record is from RNAcentral.